This 21-nucleotide ribosomal RNA is filed under the name Sticta tomentosa. Its description in RNAcentral is "partial 18S ribosomal RNA". The record is from RNAcentral. Lineage: Eukaryota; Fungi; Ascomycota; Lecanoromycetes; Peltigerales; Lobariaceae.
AAACCUGCGGAAGGAUCAUUA